UUCCGGUUGAUCCUGCCGGACCCGACUGCUAUCAGAAUAGGACUAAGCCAUGCGAGUCAACGUAGCAAUACGUGGCAUACGGCUCAGUAACACGUAGUCAACAUGCCCAGAGGACGUGGAUAACCUCGGGAGACUGAGGAUAAACCGCGAUGGGUCAUAAUAUCUGGAAUGAUUUAUGGUUUAAAUCUAUAUGGCCUCUGGAUUGGACUGCGGCCGAUCAGGCUGUUGGUGAGGUAAUGGCCCACCAAACCUGAAACCGGUACGGGCUCUGAGAGGAGAAGCCCGGAGGUGGGCACUGAGACAAGGGCCCAGGCCCUAUGGGGCGCAGCAGGCGCGAAAACUCUGCAAUAAGCGAAAGCUUGACAGGGUUAUUCUGAGUGAUUUCCGCUAAGGAAAUCUUUUGGCACCUCUAAAAAUGGUGCAGAAUAAGGGGUGGGCAAGCCUGGUGUCAGCCGCCGCGGUAAUACCAGCACCCCGAGUGGUCGGGACGAUUAUUGGGCCUAAAGCAUCCGUAGCCGGUUCUACAAGUCUUCCGUUAAAUCCACCUGCUUAACAGAUGGGCUGCGGAGGAUACUAUAGAGCUAGGAGGCGGGAGAGGCAAGCGGUACUUAGUGGGUAGGGGUAAAAUCCGUUGAUCCAUUGAAGACCACCAGUGGCGAAGGCGGCUUGCCAGAACGCACUCGACGGUGAGGGAUGAAAGCUGGGGGAGCAAACCGGAUUAGAUACCCGGGUAGUCCCAGCUGUAAACGAUGCAGACUCGGUGAUGAAUAGGCUUCGUGCCUAUUCAGUGCCGCAGGGAAGCCGUUAAGUCUGCCGCCUGGGGAGUACGGCCGCAAGACUGAAACUUAAAGGAAUUGGCGGGGGAGCACCACAAGGGGUGAAGCCUGCGGUUCAAUUGGAGUCAACGCCGGG
RNAcentral lists this ribosomal RNA (912 nucleotides) under uncultured archaeon. RNAcentral's name for it is "bacterial SSU rRNA". It matches the Rfam family "Archaeal small subunit ribosomal RNA", at positions 1 to 922 of the family's 1478-position model. The record is from RNAcentral.